GACGAAGGAUGCAAGCGUUAUCCGGAUUCAUUGGGUUUAAAGGGAGCGUAGGCGGCCUUGUAAGUCAGUGGUGAAAUCUCGCAGCUUAACUGCGAAACUGCCAUUGAUACUGCUUGGCUAGAGUACAGAUGCCGUGGGCGGAAUAUGACAUGUAGUGGUGAAAUACAUAGAGAUGUUAUAGAACACCGAUUGCGAAGGCAGCUCACAAAACUGUAACUGACGCUGAGGCUCGAAAGUGUGGGGAUCAAACAGG
This 253-nucleotide ribosomal RNA is filed under the name uncultured prokaryote. RNAcentral's name for it is "partial 16S ribosomal RNA". It matches the Rfam family "Bacterial small subunit ribosomal RNA", at positions 524 to 776 of the family's 1533-position model. The record is from RNAcentral.